UACGUAGGGGGCAAGCGUUAUCCGGAUUUACUGGGUGUAAAGGGAGCGUAGACGGCUAGACAAGUCUGGUGUGAAAACCCGGGGCUCAACCCUGGGACUGCAUUGGAAACUGUUUGGCUUGAGUGCAGGAGAGGUAAGUGGAAUUCCUAGUGUAGCGGUGAAAUGCGUAGAUAUUAGGAGGAACACCAGUGGCGAAGGCGGCUUACUGGACUGUAACUGACGUUGAGGCUCGAAAGCCAGGGGAGCGAACGGG
RNAcentral lists this ribosomal RNA (253 nucleotides) under uncultured bacterium. RNAcentral describes it as "partial 16S ribosomal RNA". It matches the Rfam family "Bacterial small subunit ribosomal RNA", at positions 524 to 776 of the family's 1533-position model. The record is from RNAcentral.